Molecule: ribosomal RNA, 678 nt
Filed under: uncultured Alphaproteobacteria bacterium
Lineage: Bacteria; Pseudomonadati; Pseudomonadota; Alphaproteobacteria
Description: bacterial SSU rRNA
Rfam family: Bacterial small subunit ribosomal RNA
Source: RNAcentral
AACGAACGCUGGCGGCAUGCCUAACACAUGCAAGUCGAACGAACCCUUCGGGGUUAGUGGCGCACGGGUGCGUAACGCGUGGGAAUCUGCCCUUUGCUUCGGAAUAACAGUUAGAAAUGACUGCUAAUACCGGAUGAUGUCUUCGGACCAAAGAUUUAUCGGCAAAGGAUGAGCCCGCGUAGGAUUAGGUAGUUGGUGGGGUAAAGGCCUACCAAGCCGACGAUCCUUAGCUGGUCUGAGAGGAUGAUCAGCCACACUGGGACUGAGACACGGCCCAGACUCCUACGGGAGGCAGCAGUGGGGAAUAUUGGACAAUGGGCGAAAGCCUGAUCCAGCAAUGCCGCGUGAGUGAUGAAGGCCUUAGGGUCGUAAAGCUCUUUUACCCGGGAUGAUAAUGACAGUACCGGGAGAAUAAGCCCCGGCUAACUCCGUGCCAGCAGCCGCGGUAAUACGGAGGGGGCUAGCGUUGUUCGGAAUUACUGGGCGUAAAGCGUACGUAGGCGGUUAUUCAAGUCAGAGGUGAAAGCCCGGGGCUCAACCCCGGAACGGCCUUUGAAACUAGGUAGCUAGAGUCUUGGAGAGGUCAGUGGAAUUCCGAGUGUAGAGGUGAAAUUCGUAGAUAUUCGGAAGAACACCAGUGGCGAAGGCGACUGACUGGACAAGUACUGACGCUGAGGU